AAACCAACAGGGAUUGCCCCAGUAACGGCGAGUGAAGCGGCAAAAGCUCAAAUUUGAAAUCCCUCGGGAGUUGUAAUUUGUAGGUUGGGACGCAAGGCAAGUCAGAGUUUAAGUCCCUUGGAACAGGGCGCCUUAGAGGGUGAGAGCCCCGUAAAACUCUGGACAAGCUCCACGCGUCCCUUCCAAAGAGUCGAGUUGUUUGGGAAUGCAGCUCAAAGUGGGUGGUAAAUUCCAUCUAAAGCUAAAUACCGGCGAGAGACCGAUAGCGAACAAGUACAGUGAUGGAAAGAUGAAAAGCACUUUGAAAAGAGAGUGAAACAGUACGUGAAAUUGUUGAAAGGGAAGGGCUUGCAAGCAGACACGGUUUCGGCCGGGCCAGCAUCGGUUGCCAGGGGUGGACAAAACGGCAGGAAUGUAGCUCUCGCGAGUGUUAUAUCCUGCCCGCCAUACACCCACCGGCGACCGAGGCCUGCGUUCUUUCACGGAUGCUGGCGUAAUGGUUGCAAGCCGC
RNAcentral lists this ribosomal RNA (511 nucleotides) under Sungouiella tsuchiyae. Its description in RNAcentral is "eukaryotic LSU rRNA". It matches the Rfam family "Eukaryotic large subunit ribosomal RNA", at positions 62 to 648 of the family's 3401-position model. Lineage: Eukaryota; Fungi; Ascomycota; Pichiomycetes; Serinales; Metschnikowiaceae. The record is from RNAcentral.